ACAACCCUGGUAGUCACUAGAUACUCUAUUUCCCUCAAUCUUAUAUCCUUCUUCAUAGAUAACUACAGAAUAGAAUAUAAUAGUAAUCUUACGUCCCUAUCUGAAUGCAAUCUUGCGAGCAUAUCGGAAUGAGCAACAAUCAACACCUAUGCUGGCAUGGUAUCAGGUGUUACAUCGAUUCACACGUGAUGCGCGCAACUUGAAUUAUCUAUCCACGCUGAAUACUCACCGGCCUUCAUUCGAUCGAUCAAAGACCAAGGAACCAGGAUAAUACGAAUUUUCCUUCGCAUCGAUCGUCUUGCGGAACGGCAAUUAGCAUAGUGUUCCUACUUUAUCGACCGUGCGUUCGAUGGCAUCGGUGUGCACACGGUGUUAUUAGCACGGUUGUCGUUUCCUGAAUGGAUAUCAAUCACUCUAAUGGGGGAUUCGCGCGUGUAAAGCAUGACGUGCAAUCAGAUCACAUCAUUUAUCCAAGAUGGCUCAAAGAGGUUAGGUCGUGGCUUUGUGCAACGAGAUAGUCGCGCUCGAGUUUCCAAGGAACUCGUCGGAUACGAUGGAGGAUGAUUCGAGGGAUCUCGUGCUGAUGAAUUUUCGAACAAUUUCAUCUUAUGGAUUAUAUAAGAAAAUGAAUAUUAAGGAACCGAAUCGAAUAGCCACUAUUAUUAUUUCCAUUUAAACUUUAUGCAACGUGAAAAGGAAAAUAAAAUAAUGCGUACAUGUAUACACGUCAAAGUCGAAUUGAACUUCGACCUGACCUCGUUUUGCAGGGAUUACCCAAGGAACGCAUUAAGAGGCGAUACUCGUUUAUUUUUUUUUGAAUGAAACAUGUGUGCCAUUGGAAAUGAGUGAUAUUAUUGAAGCCUGAUAUCAUAAUAAGAUAAAAUAUAUCGUAAAAUUAUUUGUUAUCGCUUAAAAUAUGCGUAAUGUUAAUAACAUAAAACAUUGGCAACAAGAUUAUGGCCGUGAUCAAUGAUCUUGAAAUAUUUCCAUUAAAGUCGAUGACGAGAUGUAGCUUUUUUCUUUAUAUGCAAAAAAAAAAAAAACAUUCAAAAGAGGAAAUCAAAUUGGAAUAUAUAAAUAACAUUUUAAUUAUAAAUUAUAAUUGAAGAUUGAUAAGUAGAAAAUAAUUUGAAGUUCACUCUUAUAUGAAGUUCACUUCACAGUUAAUUAAAUAUUGAUAUUAUAUUGGAUAUUGGAGAUAUCCAAAAUCUAAAAAAUAUUGAAUACAUUUCAAUCUUGAUAAUCUAAAACUUUAUGUAUUUUAGAAAUAAUUAAAUACUGAUGACAUGUAAGAAA
Molecule: long non-coding RNA, 1296 nt
Organism: Apis cerana (Asiatic honeybee)
Lineage: Eukaryota; Metazoa; Arthropoda; Insecta; Hymenoptera; Apidae
Source: RefSeq, a predicted model, not a curated record